This 253-nucleotide ribosomal RNA is filed under the name uncultured bacterium. Its description in RNAcentral is "partial 16S ribosomal RNA". It matches the Rfam family "Bacterial small subunit ribosomal RNA", at positions 524 to 776 of the family's 1533-position model. The record is from RNAcentral.
UACGGGGGGGGCAAGCGUUGUUCGGAAUUACUGGGCGUAAAGCGCGCGUAGGCGGACCUGCAAGUCGGGGGUGAAAGCCCGAGGCUCAACCUCGGAACUGCCUUCGAUACUGCGGGUCUCGAGUCCGGGAGAGGUGAGUGGAAUUCCUAGUGUAGAGGUGAAAUUCGUAGAUAUUAGGAAGAACACCAGUGGCGAAGGCGGCUCACUGGCCCGGUACUGACGCUGAGGCGCGAAAGCGUGGGGAUCAAACAGG